RNAcentral lists this transfer RNA (73 nucleotides) under Actinomycetes bacterium. RNAcentral describes it as "Actinobacteria bacterium tRNA-Ala". It matches the Rfam family "tRNA". From Rfam's summary of the family: Transfer RNA (tRNA) molecules are approximately 80 nucleotides in length. Their secondary structure includes four short double-helical elements and three loops (D, anti-codon, and T loops). The record is from RNAcentral. Lineage: Bacteria; Bacillati; Actinomycetota; Actinomycetes.
GGGGCCGUAGCUCAGCUGGGAGAGCGUUUGACUGGCAGUCAAAAGGCCACGGGUUCGAGUCCCGUCGGCUCCA